AAAUAUUUUUACAUUGAAAAUGGCCAGGUUGGUUACGUUGCCUUUGAUAGCGUAUGGUAGCCCAGGAAUGAGAAUUACCCCCAUGAUGGCAUACCAUUUGCAAAAGAAGACAACCCAAGGCAUUGCAAAUGGGGUAUGUCCAGUCUUUUUUAGUAACCACUUAGUCACAAACACUGGCCAAAAUUAGCGUUCAAUUUCGUUUUUUUACUUUUUUCACACACAAACAAAUAUGAAUGCUUACUUUGGCCAGUGUUUUCAACUAAGUGGCU
RNAcentral lists this long non-coding RNA (269 nucleotides) under Pelobates cultripes (western spadefoot toad). The record is from RNAcentral. Lineage: Eukaryota; Metazoa; Chordata; Amphibia; Anura; Pelobatidae.